This is a long non-coding RNA of Agrilus planipennis (emerald ash borer), 580 nucleotides long. RefSeq lists it as uncharacterized. The record is from RefSeq and is a predicted model, not a curated record. The transcript is spliced from 4 exons. NCBI's taxonomy places the organism in Eukaryota, Metazoa, Arthropoda, Insecta, Coleoptera, Buprestidae.
UUAUAAGAAUGACAACAUUGUUAUUGUCAUUUUCACUAUAAGAUGCUUGUGGUUAUAUUAGAAGCAGUGAAAAAUUAUAUUCAUUGUUCGUUUAUCCUAUUUUACAAUUAUUAAUUUUGAACCAUUCUAUAAACUAUUGUAUGGUUCUACUUGUUACAUUGUUAGUAGAUUGGCCUGUAAAUUAAAGAAAAUUGACGUUUAUCUGGAUACUACCGAAAUAUCGACAAAUGAAAUUGUGUGCAAUGAUGCAGUCAUUGUCGUGUUUGGUUCUUCCUGUACUUCAAUUUGCUUUUUGCUGUUUGUUCUUCCCCAUAGAUACCUUUCUUUUCAUUACGUUGAAAUGGUCGAAACAUUUGGUAGUUUAUUGAGGAAUAUUAUCAAAAGAGUUGGACAUUGAUUGAAGCAAUCCUUUCAAUUCAUCCUAGAUGUUCCAAUGUCUUUUAUCUAUCUAAAACAUAAACAAAUGUACUUGAACCAUUCUUCUGCGGAUUUUUCUUUUACUAUUUGGAGUUGUUGACCAAGAGGGUAGACUUUACAAUAUUGCUAUUCCAAAGUUGUUCCAUCCAAAUGCAUUGAUAAG